GUCAACGGGCCCUGUACGAGCUUUUUGUGGUAAGUUUUUUUUCACAUUAGCCAAAUCAUGUGUGUAAUGUUUGUUUCAUUACUAACUAAUACGACCUACUCUUCAGGGUUUGUGCGAGAAGAGUGGUCAAGUCCCUCCGCCGAUGCCCGUCUUCUCUUCGAUUGGCACGGUGAGUUUCAUUAUAAACUAGUAUUAAUAAUUGAGUGUCAUCAUGCUAACUGAGACAUUGCAAAAUAUCUAUUCUGCAGAAUAACUCCCGAGCGGCAUCGCACGACCCAUCUCCAGGUGUUUCUCCUCCUUGAUGACCACUACGGUAAGUUUCUCAUCUCCUCUUUCAUAUUCCCCUUGCCAUAAAAUUUCCCCAACAUUGACAUACUUAGCCAAUUUAGCUCCAAAAACACAUAGUUAGCUAAUUUAGAGCCAAUAAGAGGAUAAGAGGAGAAGAAAUAGGAAAAAUGAAAAGAAAGAAGAAGAAAAAAAAGUAGAAGUAGGAGGAGGAGGAGGAGGAGGAGAAGGAGGAGAAGGCAAAGGACCUUCUAGUCCUUCUCCUCCUCCUCCUUCUCCUCCUUCUUCUUUAUUUCUUCUUCUUCUCCUCCUCCUCCUCUUUCUUCUCCUCUUUCAUAUUCUCCUUGCCUUAAUUUCCCCAACAAUGACAUAAUUAGCCCAUUUAGCUCCAAAAUGCCAUAAUAACCUCAAAAUGGCAUAAGAACCUUGGUUAGCUCAUUAAUAUUAUAUACUUAGCUUGUUUUCCUCUAAAAUGGGAUAAUUAGCCCAUUUAGCUCCAAAAAGACAUAGUUAGCUAAUUUAGCUCCAAGAAGAGGAGAAGAGGAGAAAUGAAAAGAAGGAAGAAGAAGAAGAAGAGAAGAAGAAGAGAAGGAGAAUGAGAUGGAGAAGAAGAAGGAGGAGGAGGAGAAGAAGAGAAGAAGAAGGAGAAGGAGGAGGAGAAGGAGAAGGAGCCCUCCUUCUUCUCCUUCUUCUUCUCUACUCCUUCUUCUCCUCCUUCUCCUUCUUCUUCUCUUCUUCUUUUUUCUUCUUCUCCUCCUCCUUCUCCUUCUCCUUCCCCUUCCCCUCCUCCUCCUCCUCCUCCUUCUUGUUUUUCUUCUCCUUAUUCUCUUCUUGCUUCUUCUCUUUCUUAUUCAAUUUAGCUUAUUUGUAAUAUAUAUGUUGUUUUUCUUCUUCUUCUAACUUUCUUAUUCCCAUUUUGCAGAUUGGAUGUACUACAUGCAUGGAAGCGGGCAUUGGAGUGCUUUAGUUUCCAUUUUUAUUUGAGUUGAUGAACAAUGUGAAACUAUAUGUAUAUGUAUAUAUGAAUAACAAUAUAUGUGCAACUAUAUGUAUGUAUAUAUGGAUGAAACUUUGUAUGUGUUGGUUCUUUUGAUAUAUGGGAUGUACGUUGAUGAACAAAUGGCAUUGAUGAGCUUUAUAUGUAUAUCAUAUAUGUGUUGUG
This 1447-nucleotide long non-coding RNA is filed under the name Hordeum vulgare. RNAcentral describes it as "long non-coding RNA (HVUL_LNC015633)". Lineage: Eukaryota; Viridiplantae; Streptophyta; Magnoliopsida; Poales; Poaceae. The record is from RNAcentral.